CGGGACAUAUAUAAAAAGACAACUUUGUUCCGCAGAGUAGCUGUUGAUAUUAUAGUUGCGCAGGCACUUUGUUGACUCUAGAGUACCUCGGGACAAUCGCACAUCCCCGUGAUGGCGACUUUGCAUUUAGAUGUCAUCCAUAUCAACGUUCGAUGCCAGUUUCUACGCCUACCAUGGUGACCACGGGUAAUGGGGAAUCAGGGUUCCAUUCCGUACAGGGACCCUGAGAAACGGCUAACACAUGCAAGGAAGGCAGCAGACGCGCAAAUUACCCACUCAUGAUGCUGAAAGGUAGUGA
Pelobates cultripes (western spadefoot toad) is the source of this 298-nucleotide non-coding RNA. The record is from the annotation of a GenBank genome assembly. NCBI's taxonomy places the organism in Eukaryota, Metazoa, Chordata, Amphibia, Anura, Pelobatidae.